Molecule: ribosomal RNA, 429 nt
Filed under: Bacteroidota bacterium
Lineage: Bacteria; Pseudomonadati; Bacteroidota
Description: Bacteroidetes bacterium partial 16S ribosomal RNA
Rfam family: Bacterial small subunit ribosomal RNA
Source: RNAcentral
UAGGGAAUCUUCGGCAAUGGGGGGAACCCUGACCGAGCAACGCCGCGUGAGUGAAGAAGGUUUUCGGAUCGUAAAGCUCUGUUGUUAAGGAAGAACGAGUGUGAGAAUGGAAAGUUCAUACUGUGACGGUACUUAACCAGAAAGGGACGGCUAACUACGUGCCAGCAGCCGCGGUAAUACGUAGGUCCCGAGCGUUGUCCGGAUUUAUUGGGCGUAAAGCGAGCGCAGGCGGUUAGAUAAGUCUGAAGUUAAAGGCAGUGGCUCAACCAUUGUAGGCUUUGGAAACUGUUUAACUUGAGUGCAGAAGGGGAGAGUGGAAUUCCAUGUGUAGCGGUGAAAUGCGUAGAUAUAUGGAGGAACACAGGUGGCGAAAGCGGCUCUCUGGUCUGUAACUGACGCUGAGGCUCGAAAGCGUGGGGAGCGAACAGG